Molecule: ribosomal RNA, 467 nt
Filed under: uncultured bacterium
Lineage: Bacteria
Description: bacterial SSU rRNA
Rfam family: Bacterial small subunit ribosomal RNA
Source: RNAcentral
GUCCCAGACUCCUACGGGAGGCAGCAGUGAGGAAUAUUGGUCAAUGGCCGCAGGGCUGAACCAGCCAAGUCGCGUGAGGGAUGACGGUCCUAUGGAUUGUAAACCUCUUUUGUCAGGGAGCAAAGGGCGCCACGUGUGGCGCUUUGCGAGUACCUGAAGAAAAAGCAUCGGCUAACUCCGUGCCAGCAGCCGCGGUAAUACGGAGGAUGCGAGCGUUAUCCGGAUUUAUUGGGUUUAAAGGGUGCGCAGGCGGAAUGUCAAGUCAGCGGUAAAAUUUCGGGGCUCAACCCCGUCGUGCCGUUGAAACUGGUUUUCUAGAGUUGGAGAGAAGUAUGCGGAAUUCGUGGUGUAGCGGUGAAAUGCAUAGAUAUCACGAAGAACUCCGAUUGCGAAGGCAGCAUACCGGCUCCAUACUGACGCUGAGGCACGAAAGCGUGGGGAUCGAACAGGAUUAGAUACCCCGGUAC